Molecule: ribosomal RNA, 693 nt
Filed under: uncultured bacterium
Lineage: Bacteria
Description: bacterial SSU rRNA
Rfam family: Bacterial small subunit ribosomal RNA
Source: RNAcentral
GACGAACGCUGGCGGCGUGCUUAACUCAUGCAAGUCGAACGAGGUCCAUCCUCAUUUCGGUGAGGUGAAGACCUAGUGGCGAACGGGUGAGUAACACGUGAGAAACCUGCCCCGGAGACCGGGAUAACAGCGGGAAACCGCUGCUAAUACCGGAUGCCUUCGUCGGAUCGCAUGGUCUGACGAAGAAAUGGAUUCCGCUCCGGGAGGGUCUCGCGGCCUAUCAGCUUGUUGGUGGGGUAACGGCCUACCAAGGCAUCGACGGGUAGCUGGUCUGAGAGGACGAUCAGCCACACUGGGACUGAGACACGGCCCAGACUCCUACGGGAGGCAGCAGUGGGGAAUCUUGCACAAUGGGCGAAAGCCUGAUGCAGCAACGCCGCGUGGGGGAUGAAGGCCCUCGGGUUGUAAACCCCUUUCAGCAGGGACGAAACUGACGGGUACCUGCAGAAGAAGCCCCGGCCAACUACGUGCCAGCAGCCGCGGUAAGACGUAGGGGGCGAGCGUUGUCCGGAUUUAUUGGGCGUAAAGAGCUCGUAGGCGGUUUGGCAAGUCGGAUGUGAAACCUCCAGGCUUAACCUGGAGACGCCAUUCGAUACUGCUAUGACUUGAGUCCGGGUAGGGGCGCAUGGAAUACCCCGGUGUAGCGGUGAAAUGCUUAGAUAUCGGGUGGAACACCAGUGGCGAAGGCGGUGC